Molecule: ribosomal RNA, 775 nt
Filed under: uncultured Neocallimastigales
Lineage: Eukaryota; Fungi; Neocallimastigomycota; Neocallimastigomycetes; Neocallimastigales
Description: partial large subunit ribosomal RNA
Rfam family: Eukaryotic large subunit ribosomal RNA
Source: RNAcentral
UAUCUCUGUAGAGUCUGCAUAUCAAUAAGCGGAGGAAAAGAAACUAACAAGGAUUCCCUUAGUAACGGCGAGUGAAGCGGGAAGAGCUCAAAUUUGAAAUCUUCAAGGUUCUACCUUGACGAAUUGUAGUUUAAAGAAGUGUUUUCUGUUAGAUGAGUAGCAAAAGUUCCUUGGAAUGGGACAUCAUAGAGGGUGAGAAUCCCGUAUUUGGUUAUUCAUUCUAGCUUUGUGAUACACUUUCAAAGAGUCGGAUUGUUUGGGAAUGCAGUCCAAAAUGGGUGGUAAAUUUCAUCUAAAGCUAAAUAUUGGCGAGAGACCGAUAGCGAACAAGUACCGUGAGGGAAAGAUGAAAAGAACUUUGAAAAGAGAGUUAAACAGUACGUGAAAUUGUCAAAAGGGAAGCGUUUGACACCAGUGUUGUUUUUCCGAAAAUCAAUUACGAAUGGCUUGAUUUUGUGUUGUAUUGACCUUAUCAGCUUUCUUCACUUUUUUCGAGUCUUUCUUAAUGCACUUUUCGGUUAACAAGUCAACAUCAAUUUCUUUUGUUGUAAAAGAGUAUUCGGAAGGUGGCUUUCUUUUCGGAGAAAGUGUUUAUAGCCCUAUACUUCUACAAUCGGAGAGAUUGAGGUCUGCAGCGUAGAUCCUUCGGGGUUAGAUACACUUUGUGCUAAGUUGUAGCUUUUCAUAGACAACUUGUUGACUAUGUUUAGUCAUGCGGCUUACUCGCUUAUGCUAUUUUACCUACGCUUAGGAUGUUGACUGAUAUGUAGUCGUA